Molecule: ribosomal RNA, 553 nt
Filed under: Stemphylium sp. MAFF 241959
Lineage: Eukaryota; Fungi; Ascomycota; Dothideomycetes; Pleosporales; Pleosporaceae
Description: eukaryotic LSU rRNA
Rfam family: 5.8S ribosomal RNA (bases 192-345)
Source: RNAcentral
UGCGGAGGGAUCAUUACACAAUAUGAAAGCGGGUUGGGACCUCACCUCGGUGAGGGCUCCAGCUUGUCUGAAUUAUUCACCCAUGUCUUUUGCGCACUUCUUGUUUCCUGGGCGGGUUCGCCCGCCACCAGGACCAAACUAUAAACCUUUUUGUAAUUGCAAUCAGCGUCAGUAAACAAUGUAAUUAUUACAACUUUCAACAACGGAUCUCUUGGUUCUGGCAUCGAUGAAGAACGCAGCGAAAUGCGAUACGUAGUGUGAAUUGCAGAAUUCAGUGAAUCAUCGAAUCUUUGAACGCACAUUGCGCCCUUUGGUAUUCCAAAGGGCAUGCCUGUUCGAGCGUCAUUUGUACCCUCAAGCUUUGCUUGGUGUUGGGCGUCUUUGUCUCUCACGAGACUCGCCUUAAAAUGAUUGGCAGCCGACCUACUGGUUUCGGAGCGCAGCACAAUUCUUGCACUUUGAAUCAGCCUUGGUUGAGCAUCCAUCAAGACCACAUUUUCUUAACUUUUGACCUCGGAUCAGGUAGGGAUACCCGCUGAACUUAAGCAUAUCA